UCAGUCUUACCACGUCUCACUUUCUUGUAGCCUCUUGUACUGUUUCUUACCUAGUACAUAAUUUACUUCAAACUUAUACAUAUCCAAUCUCUCUUUUUAAAAUCCAUAUGACUCUCAAGCACCUGCAUUGGACAUCCACACCACACAUACAUACCAAACAUGACUAUAAUUUGCUAAAUAACUUUCACUCAUCAUCAAGUCUCAAAAAUUGUUUAGAUCCGACUGUAAAAACUGAGGGAACACAAAACC
This 249-nucleotide long non-coding RNA is filed under the name Brassica napus (rape). RNAcentral describes it as "long non-coding RNA (BNAP_LNC003617)". The record is from RNAcentral. Lineage: Eukaryota; Viridiplantae; Streptophyta; Magnoliopsida; Brassicales; Brassicaceae.